UGAGCCCGCUUAUUGAAAAGA
RNAcentral lists this non-coding RNA (21 nucleotides) under Caenorhabditis elegans. Lineage: Eukaryota; Metazoa; Nematoda; Chromadorea; Rhabditida; Rhabditidae. The record is from RNAcentral.